Molecule: ribosomal RNA, 239 nt
Filed under: uncultured bacterium
Lineage: Bacteria
Description: partial 16S ribosomal RNA
Rfam family: Bacterial small subunit ribosomal RNA
Source: RNAcentral
CGUGAGUAACCUGCCCUGGAGUGGGGAAUAACAGCUGGAAACAGCUGCUAAUACCGCAUAAUGCAGUUGGGCCGCAUGGCUCUGACUGCCAAAGAUUUAUCGCUCUGGGAUGGACUCGCGUCUGAUUAGCUAGUUGGUGGGGCAACGGCCCACCAAGGCGACGAUCAGUAGCCGGACUGAGAGGUUGGCCGGCCACAUUGGGACUGAGACACGGCCCAGACUCCUACGGGAGGCAGCAG